CUCGCCUUCUGACAGCGAUCUGGGGGCUCCCAGUGCUGGCAGUCCAUCAUUCAGCUCCUCCCUGUCCUUCGGAUCGGGACCUCGAUCAAGAUUGGUUCCGGCACCGCCACGCUGUUCUGGUUCGAUAGGUGGGCUGGCGACACGCCCCUUGCGGCCCGCUUUCCGGACCUCUUCUCCAUCGUGGUUGCGCGACAGAUCUCCAUGGUGACCGCCCUUAUUGACUUAGGGCAACUAGCGUUCCGGAGUCCUUUUGGCCCGGCUAAGAACGCAGACUGGCAGGAGCUGCUCGACUGUAUUGCACUGCACGAGCCUGAUCUCUCGACGGACGAUGACCGCGCCAGAUGGCGGCUUGAGCCUUCUGGGCAAUUCUCCACCAAAUCUUUAUACCUGGCCAUCGCCCCAUCACUUGUCCAUGAGGCACUCUCCUCCAUUUGGGCGAUCCGCCUUCCCCUCAAAAUUAGGAUCUUCUUGUGG
This 474-nucleotide ribosomal RNA is filed under the name Triticum aestivum (bread wheat). RNAcentral describes it as "partial small subunit ribosomal RNA". The record is from RNAcentral. Lineage: Eukaryota; Viridiplantae; Streptophyta; Magnoliopsida; Poales; Poaceae.